UACGGGGGGGGCAAGCGUUGUUCGGAAUUACUGGGCGUAAAGGGCUCGUAGGCGGCCAACUAAGUCAGACGUGAAAUCCCCAGGCUCAACCUGGGAACUGCGUCCGAUACUGGCAGGCUUGAAUCCGGGAGAGGGAUGUGGAAUUCCAGGUGUAGCGGUGAAAUGCGUAGAUAUCUGGAGGAACACCGGUGGCGAAGGCGGCAUCCUGGACCGGUAUUGACGCUGAGGCGCGAAAGCUAGGGGAGCAAACGGG
RNAcentral lists this ribosomal RNA (253 nucleotides) under uncultured bacterium. Its description in RNAcentral is "partial 16S ribosomal RNA". It matches the Rfam family "Bacterial small subunit ribosomal RNA", at positions 524 to 776 of the family's 1533-position model. The record is from RNAcentral.